GCCUUCGUGGUGUAGUGGUCUGCACGCUGGACGAUCAUUCCAGAGGUCCGUGGUUCGAUUCCCGGCGAGGGCA
RNAcentral lists this transfer RNA (73 nucleotides) under Stegodyphus dumicola. RNAcentral's name for it is "tRNA-Asp". It matches the Rfam family "tRNA". From Rfam's summary of the family: Transfer RNA (tRNA) molecules are approximately 80 nucleotides in length. Their secondary structure includes four short double-helical elements and three loops (D, anti-codon, and T loops). The record is from RNAcentral. Lineage: Eukaryota; Metazoa; Arthropoda; Arachnida; Araneae; Eresidae.